AUCCCAUGAUGAGGACAGUCGAGAGUGUAUUCUUGGAGUUUCCCCCAAGCUUCUGGGAUGGAUUCCAUCCCCAUCUACUGGAAACAUGAUAUUCUUCCACGCAGGGC
Molecule: small nucleolar RNA, 107 nt
Organism: Panicum virgatum (switchgrass)
Lineage: Eukaryota; Viridiplantae; Streptophyta; Magnoliopsida; Poales; Poaceae
Source: RefSeq, a predicted model, not a curated record